RNAcentral lists this transfer RNA (76 nucleotides) under Reichenbachiella faecimaris. Its description in RNAcentral is "tRNA_Met_CAT". It matches the Rfam family "tRNA". From Rfam's summary of the family: Transfer RNA (tRNA) molecules are approximately 80 nucleotides in length. Lineage: Bacteria; Pseudomonadati; Bacteroidota; Cytophagia; Cytophagales; Reichenbachiellaceae. The record is from RNAcentral.
CGCGGGAUGGAGCAGUUGGUAGCUCGUCGGGCUCAUAACCCGAAGGUCGCAAGUUCGAGUCUUGCUCCCGCUACUA